RNAcentral lists this ribosomal RNA (253 nucleotides) under uncultured bacterium. RNAcentral's name for it is "partial 16S ribosomal RNA". It matches the Rfam family "Bacterial small subunit ribosomal RNA", at positions 524 to 776 of the family's 1533-position model. The record is from RNAcentral.
GACGGAGGGGGUUAGCGUUGUUCGGAUUUAUUGGGCGUAAAGCGCGCGCAGGCGGAUUAGCAAGUCAGAUGUGAAAUCUCGGGGCUCAACCUCGAAACUGCGUCUGAAACUGUUAGUCUAGAAUCUCAGAGGGGGCAGGGGAAUUUCACGUGUAGGGGUAAAAUCCGUAGAGAUGUGAAGGAACACCAGUGGCGAAGGCGCCUGCCUGGAUGAGUAUUGACGCUGAGGCGCGAAAGCGUGGGGAGCAAACAGG